RNAcentral lists this ribosomal RNA (187 nucleotides) under uncultured bacterium. RNAcentral describes it as "partial 16S ribosomal RNA". It matches the Rfam family "Bacterial small subunit ribosomal RNA", at positions 1315 to 1500 of the family's 1533-position model. The record is from RNAcentral.
ACUACAUGAAGCUGGAAUCGCUAGUAAUCGCGAAUCAGAAUGUCGCGGUGAAUACGUUCCCGGGUCUUGUACACACCGCCCGUCACACCAUGGGAGUCAGUAACGCCCGAAGCCGGUGACCCAACCGAUAAGGAGGGAGCCGUCGAAGGUGGGACCGAUAACUGGGGUGAAGUCGUAACAAGGUAAC